Orbicella faveolata is the source of this 2002-nucleotide long non-coding RNA. Lineage: Eukaryota; Metazoa; Cnidaria; Anthozoa; Scleractinia; Merulinidae. The record is from RefSeq and is a predicted model, not a curated record.
AUUAGACUUUGUGGAGCUCUUUAUUAAGUUAGGGAGGGAUGUAGUGUAUGUCCAUAUAUGGUAUUUCCUUAUUUGGAAGUGACCAUGUGCUUGAAUAGAAGAGACCAUCUAGAAUGGCGGAUUAAAACGUUGUGUUGUCAAAUCCAGUCUCUGUUUGUUCCGCAAACACCACAACUGGAAUUUUGAAAUGUUUUUAACUUCGUGUUUUUGGAUUACGUGAAAGGAAAAUAGCUGCAACGGCUGCAAAACACUAAAAGUUUUAAACACCGGCCGCUCACCGACAACAUCGAUCUGACAAUUCCCAGCUAUUGCCGGACUCCUACCAGAGAGUUGGAGAUGAAGGGUGUUCAAUCUGGAAUGUCUCAGUCAUUGGAAACCUGAGAAGUCGUGAAGCUGCUACAUUGGAAGUUUUACCCCAUGGCAACUAAUGUUUGAAGAAAGGAAAAUGAGAGAACAGAAAUGAGGAAAAGCCAAGUAAAUCACAUAUACUUUUCCAUUCUAUUACCGGUAGCUCAGUUAAGUAUUAUUUAUUUCUGAAAAUAUAAUGCUCAUCUUUUGAGAAAGCCGAGUCAAACUUGCAAAACUAUCCUGGGUGAUGUAAGAAUGAGAGUAGUCCCUCUUUCACUUAGUAUGUAAUGAGUGUACAGGAUAUGGGUGCAAGACCUGACCUACAAAAAGGUUGGUCCAUCCAACAAACUCUCUUCCUGAGCUUCUUGAUCUGUGAAGCAAAGACUGGUCCUACCUUCAAGUGUUUUUUUUUUUACUGCAAUUUUCAACAGUAAAUCUCAGUGCAUAAAAAAUUGUUUAAGAGCCAGGACUGUCUACUUGUACAUGUGGUGGAUAGAUCUUGAGCUUUGUACAGGAGAUUGUUGGAAUACCUGACCUACAAAGGUCUUGGUCCACCCAGCUUCCUGAGCUUCUUGAUCUGUGAAGCAAAGACUGGUCCUACCUUCAAGCUUUUUGUUUGUUUUUUUCUAUGCAAUUUUCAACUGUAGAUCUCAAUGUAUAAAAAUUUGUUUAAGAACCAGGACUGUCUACAUGUACAUGCAUGGAAUGGAUCUUGAGCUUUGUACAGGAGAUGGGUGUAAGACCUGACCUACAAAGGGGUUGGUCCACCCAACAAAAUCUCUUCCUGAGCUUUUUGAUCUGUGAAGCAAAUUCUGCUCCUACACUCAAGUUCUUUUUUUUCUUCAUGCAGUUUUCAACAGUAAAUCUAAGUGCAUAAAAAUUUGUAUAGGAAACAGGACUAUCUACAUGUACAUGUGCUGAGUGGAUCUUGAGCUUUGUACAGGAGAUGGGUGUAAGACCUGACCUACAAAGGGGUUGGUCCACCCAACAAAAUCUCUUCCUGAGCUUCUUGAUCUGUGAAGCAAAUACUGGUCCUACCUUCAAGUGUUUUGUUUGUUUUUUUUUUUCUAUGCAAUUUUCAACUGUAGAUCUCAAUGUAUAAAAAUUUGUUUAAGAACCAGGACUGUCUACAUGUACAUGCAUGGAAUGGAUCUUGAGCUUUGUACAGGAGAUGGGUGUAAGACCUGACCUACAAAGGGGUUGGUCCACCCAACAAAAUCUCUUUCUGAGCUUCUUGAUCUGUGAAGCAAAGACUGGUUGUACCUUCAGGUUUUUUUUUGUUUGUUUUUUUCCAUGCAAUUUUCAACUGUAGAUCUCAGUGCAUGAAAAUUUGUUUAAGAACCAGGACUGUCUACAUGUACAUCUGUGAAUAGAUCUUGAGCUUUGUACAGGAGAUGGGUGUAAGACCUGACCUACAAAGAGGUUAGUUCACCCAACAAAAUCUCUUCCUGAGCCUCUUGAUCUGUGAAGUAAAGACUGGUCCUACCGUCAAGUUUUGUUUUCCUGCAAUUUUCAACAGUAAAUCUCAGUGCAUCAAAUUUUAUUUAGGAACAAGAACUGUCUGCCUGCACUGAAUGGAUCUUGAGCUUUGUACAGGAGAUGGGUGUAAGACCUGACCUACAAAGGGGUUGGUCCACCCAACAAAAUCUCUUCC